UUGCUAUCUGCGAUAUAGAAGAUUCGAACCUGCCGCAGGUUCGGGUCGAACGCAGUGAGACAACGGAGCCGUUUACGGCGACGGCCCGUAGGGCGAGGCGAAGCCGAGUCAUCCUGCACGACCCACCA
Molecule: small RNA, 128 nt
Filed under: Salmonella enterica
Lineage: Bacteria; Pseudomonadati; Pseudomonadota; Gammaproteobacteria; Enterobacterales; Enterobacteriaceae
Description: RtT sRNA
Rfam family: RtT RNA
About the family: This family represents a bacterial cis-regulatory element known as RtT RNA. The exact function of RtT is unknown although it is thought that it may be involved in changing the cellular response in relation to amino acid starvation.
Source: RNAcentral